UACGUAGGGAGCAAGCGUUGUCCGGAUUCACUGGGUGUAAAGGGUGCGCAGGCGGGAGAGUAAGUCAGAGGUGAAAUCUUACAGCUUAACUGUGAAACUGCCUUUGAUACUGCUUUUCUUGAGUUCGGGAGAGGUUGAUGGAAUUCCAGGUGUAGCGGUGAAAUGCGUAGAUAUCUGGAAGAACACCAGUGGCGAAGGCGGUCAACUGGCCCGUAACUGACGCUCAGGCACGAAAGCGUGGGUAGCGAACAGG
Molecule: ribosomal RNA, 253 nt
Filed under: uncultured bacterium
Lineage: Bacteria
Description: partial 16S ribosomal RNA
Rfam family: Bacterial small subunit ribosomal RNA
Source: RNAcentral